AGAGUUUGAUCCUGGCUCAGGACGAACGCUGGCGGCGCGCCUAACACAUGCAAGUCGAACGGAGUUGUGUUGAAAGCUUGCUGGAUAUACAACUUAGUGGCGGACGGGUGAGUAACACGUGAGUAACCUGCCUCUCAGAGUGGAAUAACAUUUGGAAACGAACGCUAAUACCGCAUAACGUGAGAAGAGGGCAUCCUCUUUUUAUCAAAGAUUUAUCGCUGAGAGAUGGGCUCGCGGCCGAUUAGGUAGUUGGUGAGAUAACAGCCCACCAAGCCGACGAUCGGUAGCCGACCUGAGAGGUUGAACGGCCACAUUGGGACUGAGAUACGGCCCAGACUCCUACGGGAGGCAGCAGUCGGGAAUAUUGCGCAAUGGAGGAAACUCUGACGCAGUGACGCCGCGUAUAGGAAGAAGGUUUUCGGAUUGUAAACUAUUGUCGUUAGGGAAGAGAAAGGACAGUACCUAAGGAGGAAGCUCCGGCUAACUACGUGCCAGCAGCCGCGGUAAUACGUAGGGAGCGAGCGUUAUCCGGAAUUAUUGGGUGUAAAGGGUGCGUAGACGGGAAGAUAAGUUAGUUGUGAAAUCCCUCGGCUUAACUGAGGAACUGCAACUAAAACUGUUUUUCUUGAGUGCAGGAGAGGUAAGUGGAAUUCCUAGUGUAGCGGUGAAAUGCGUAGAUAUUAGGAGGAACACCAGUGGCGAAGGCGACUUACUGGACUGUAACUGACGUUGAGGCACGAAAGUGUGGGGAGCAAACAGGAUUAGAUACCCUGGUAGUCCACACCGUAAACGAUGGAUACUAGGUGUAGGAGAUAUUAAGUCUUCUGUGCCGUCGCAAACGCAGUAAGUAUCCCACCUGGGGAGUACGGCCGCAAGGUUGAAACUCAAAGGAAUUGACGGGGGCCCGCACAAGCAGUGGAGUAUGUGGUUUAAUUCGAAGCAACGCGAAGAACCUUACCAGGUCUUGACAUCCACUUAAACUUACAGAGAUGUAAGGUGUGCUUGCACAAAGUGAGACAGGUGGUGCAUGGUUGUCGUCAGCUCGUGUCGUGAGAUGUUGGGUUAAGUCCCGCAACGAGCGCAACCCUUAUCUUCAGUUACUAACGCGUAGAGGUGAGGACUCUGAAGAGACUGCCGGGGACAACUCGGAGGAAGGUGGGGACGACGUCAAAUCAUCAUGCCCCUUAUGACCUGGGCUACACACGUGCUACAAUGGCCACGACAGAGAGAAGCGAAAUCGCAAGGUAGAGCGGAACUCAAAAAAGUGGUCCCAGUUCGGAUUGUGGGCUGCAACCCGCCCACAUGAAGUCGGAGUUGCUAGUAAUCGCGGAUCAGCAUGCCGCGGUGAAUACGUUCCCGGGCCUUGCACACAACGCCCGUCA
This 1382-nucleotide ribosomal RNA is filed under the name uncultured bacterium. RNAcentral's name for it is "bacterial SSU rRNA". It matches the Rfam family "Bacterial small subunit ribosomal RNA". The record is from RNAcentral.